GAACGCUGGCGGCGUGCUUAACACAUGCAAGUCGAGCGGAAAGGCCCUUCGGGGUACUCGAGCGGCGAACGGGUGAGUAACACGUGAGUAACCUGCCCCAGGCUUUGGGAUAACCCUCGGAAACGGGGGCUAAUACCGAAUAUUCAUGCUGCGUGGCAUCAUGCGGUGUGGAAAGUUUUUCGGCUUGGGAUGGGCUCGCGGCCUAUCAGCUUGUUGGUGGGGUGAUGGCCUACCAAGGCGACGACGGGUAGCCGGCCUGAGAGGGCGACCGGCCACACUGGGACUGAGACACGGCCCAGACUCCUACGGGAGGCAGCAGUGGGGAAUAUUGCACAAUGGGCGGAAGCCUGAUGCAGCGACGCCGCGUGAGGGAUGAAGGCCUUCGGGUUGUAAACCUCUUUCGACAGGGACGAAGCGCAAGUGACGGUACCUGGAGAAGAAGCGCCGGCCAACUACGUGCCAGCAGCCGCGGUAAGACGUAGGGCGCGAGCGUUGUCCGGAUUUAUUGGGCGUAAAGAGCUCGUAGGCGG
RNAcentral lists this ribosomal RNA (530 nucleotides) under Dactylosporangium luridum. Its description in RNAcentral is "bacterial SSU rRNA". It matches the Rfam family "Bacterial small subunit ribosomal RNA", at positions 31 to 578 of the family's 1533-position model. Lineage: Bacteria; Bacillati; Actinomycetota; Actinomycetes; Micromonosporales; Micromonosporaceae. The record is from RNAcentral.